Molecule: long non-coding RNA, 247 nt
Filed under: Hordeum vulgare
Lineage: Eukaryota; Viridiplantae; Streptophyta; Magnoliopsida; Poales; Poaceae
Description: long non-coding RNA (HVUL_LNC004318)
Source: RNAcentral
AGGAGGUAGUGGCAAAUAUCAAUCAGUGGUCGUACAUUGCUAAAUUUGCAGUGGUAGUGGUAGUGGCAGCAUGUCUCCCUGGGUAGGUAUACUUCUUUUAUGAGUCCAGGAGGUAGUGGCAAAUAUCAAUCAGUGGUCGUACAUUGCUAAAUUUGCAGUGUCCAUGAUUUUCCUCCAUGUUCACCAGUUAAACCGUCUCGAACUGUAACUCGCAAUUAUAAUUUCCGUUCCUCGGUAGGGAUUAAUG